RNAcentral lists this transfer RNA (72 nucleotides) under Camelus bactrianus (Bactrian camel). It matches the Rfam family "tRNA". Rfam says of the family: Transfer RNA (tRNA) molecules are approximately 80 nucleotides in length. Lineage: Eukaryota; Metazoa; Chordata; Mammalia; Artiodactyla; Camelidae. RNAcentral also lists the same sequence under 1 other name. The record is from Rfam by way of RNAcentral.
GAGGGUAUAGCUCAGUGGUAGAGCACCUGCUUAGCAUGCAUGAGGUCCUGGGUUCAAUCCCUAGUACCUCCA